Struthio camelus australis is the source of this 616-nucleotide non-coding RNA. The record is from RefSeq and is a predicted model, not a curated record. Lineage: Eukaryota; Metazoa; Chordata; Aves; Struthioniformes; Struthionidae.
UUUGCUCGCGGGUAGCGACGUCUGCCCUGCACAGUCACAAACCUGGCUGUAGUUGCUCCGUAAACAAAAUGGGAAUAGUUACCAGUUUCCACGUAUUUGAACCCCUCCCCUGAGAUUUUUAUCGGGUGGAAGAAGAACACAAAGCAGCUUCACCCUGAAAGCUCUGCCUUUUCUUUUUUCAUACACCAGAAGUUUCAUGCGUCAUGCCCCCUUCUCUUUGCAGCUUGAAUUUUUUGGAGUGAAGGCGUUGUACAGACAGCAUAAUACAGACUGCUGGUGGGGGUUGACUGCAGAUAAGUCGGCAGCUACUCUUGCAGCAUAUUAGUCAUUAAAAACAUUUUGUUCUUACAGACUGGUAAUGGAGGGAAAGAUGAUGUUUAUUGACUUAAGGAUGGCAUUUUCUGACAGUUCACGUUACAGUUCUGAGUAUUUAAGAACAGAUCUGAGUCAUUUAAAAAUUCAGACUUCAUAAAAAAUGUGCAGACUAUUUAUUGAAGAAUUUCACUGUCUUUCACUUUUUAUUUAGGAAAUAAAAAGAAGACAGCUAGCAGAAGCUGCCGAAAAGAGACAGAUGGAGGCUUCCUCUCGCGGUAUUAAGAAUGUUUAUUCUGUAGAG